RNAcentral lists this ribosomal RNA (322 nucleotides) under uncultured bacterium. RNAcentral's name for it is "bacterial SSU rRNA". It matches the Rfam family "Bacterial small subunit ribosomal RNA", at positions 83 to 422 of the family's 1533-position model. The record is from RNAcentral.
CCUUAGGGUCUAGUGGCGCACGGGUGCGUAACGCGUGGGAACCUGCCUUUAGGUUGGGAAUAAUUCCCCGAAAGGGGUGCUAAUACCGGAUAAUGUCUUGGGACCAAAGAUUUAUCGCCUUUAGAUGGGCCUGCGUAAGAUUAGGUAGUUGGUGGGGUAAAGGCCUACCAAGCCGACGAUCUUUAGCUGGUAUGAGAGGAUGAUCAGCCACACUGGGAGUGAGACCCGGCCCAGACUCUUACGGGAGGCAGCAGUGGGGAAUAUUGGACAAUGGGCGAAAGCUUGAUCCAGCAAUGCCGCGUGAGUGAUGAAGGCCUUAGGG